CAGUAGCUAAGUGGAUAACGCGAUGGCGUUUGAAGUGAAAGGUACUGGGUUCAAGUCUCAGAAUGAA
This 67-nucleotide transfer RNA is filed under the name Schistosoma mansoni. Lineage: Eukaryota; Metazoa; Platyhelminthes; Trematoda; Strigeidida; Schistosomatidae. The record is from RNAcentral.